RNAcentral lists this unclassified non-coding RNA (241 nucleotides) under Hevea brasiliensis (rubber tree). Lineage: Eukaryota; Viridiplantae; Streptophyta; Magnoliopsida; Malpighiales; Euphorbiaceae. The record is from RNAcentral.
GUAUCCAUGGGUAUGUCAUACCCGCCCAAUUUAACGGGCUCCGUUACUGUAUGGGUCAAUGUGAAAUAUGUUGGAGGGUGUUUACGUAAAAGCUCUUUUAUAACUGCGUUUAAGUAAGGCAUUUUCUCUAUAUCAUUCUCGUCAACCUUUUUAUCACCUACUACGGUUUUGAUCUCUUUGUAUAUUUUCUCUUGUAUGCUUGGAUUCUCAAUCAAUCUCCCUAUGGCCCACUCUAAUGCCG